GACGAACGCUGGCGGCGUGCUUAACACAUGCAAGUCGAACGAUGAAGCGGGUGCUUGCACUCGUGGAUUAGUGGCGAACGGGCGAGUAACACGUGAGUAACCUGUCCUUUUCUUUGGGAUAACGGCUGGAAACGGCUGCUAAUACUGGAUAUUCAGGCUGCAUCGCAUGGUGUGGUUUGGAAAGGUUUUUUCUGGGAUUGGGUGGGCUCGCGGCCUAUCAGCUUGGUGGUGGGGUGAUGGCUUACCAAGGCUUUGACGGGUAGCCGGCCUGAGAGGGUGGUCGGUCGCACUGGGACUGAGAUACGGCCCAGACUCCUACGGGAGGCAGCAGUGGGGAAUAUUGCACAAUGGACGAAAGUUUGAUGCAGCGACGCCGCGUGGAGGGUGUAGGCCUUCGGGUUGUGAACUCCUUUUUCUCGCGAAAAAGGCACAGUUUUGGCUGUGUUGAUGGUAGUGGGGGAAGAAGCGCCGGCUAACUACGUG
Molecule: ribosomal RNA, 483 nt
Filed under: uncultured bacterium
Lineage: Bacteria
Description: partial 16S ribosomal RNA
Rfam family: Bacterial small subunit ribosomal RNA
Source: RNAcentral